RNAcentral lists this ribosomal RNA (479 nucleotides) under Lithobius schuleri. Its description in RNAcentral is "partial large subunit ribosomal RNA". It matches the Rfam family "Bacterial large subunit ribosomal RNA", at positions 1829 to 2578 of the family's 2925-position model. Lineage: Eukaryota; Metazoa; Arthropoda; Chilopoda; Lithobiomorpha; Lithobiidae. The record is from RNAcentral.
UGUCUCUUGAUUUUUAAUAUGAGAUAAAAUCUGCCCUAUGAUUAAAUUAAAUGGCCGCAGUAUUUUGACUGUGCGAAGGUAGCAUAAUAGUUUGUCUUUUAAUUGGAGUCUGGAAUGAAUGAUUUAAUGGAAGAAUUACUGUCUUUUUAAUAAUUCUGAAUUUUUAAGUUAGGUGAAGAUACUUAAAUAAUUAUAAAAGACGAGAAGACCCCAUUAAGUUUUAUGUUUAUUAUUAGUUUUAGGUAAAAUUUAAAUGAUUUUAGCAUUUAGUUGGGGCAACAGUUAUAUAGGAAAAACUUUAAUUUUGUUAAAUAUUUAUUUAUAUCUAAUUAUUAUGAUCCAUUGGCUUGAUUAAUAGAAGAAAUUACUGUGGGGAUAACAGCGUAAUUUCUUUUUAGAGUUCUUAUCGAUGGAGAAGAUUGCGACCUCGAUGUUGGAUUAAGAUACUUAUUUGGCGCAGGUGUUAAAUGAGGUAGUCU